AAAACUCAGGAAUGAUGCAGCCGAGAUA
RNAcentral lists this small RNA (28 nucleotides) under Bombyx mori (domestic silkworm). RNAcentral's name for it is "ovarian small RNA-9853". The record is from RNAcentral. Lineage: Eukaryota; Metazoa; Arthropoda; Insecta; Lepidoptera; Bombycidae.